CAUCAUUCAUAUGCUCAUAUACAAAGCACUCGGCCCCCCACAUAUGCACUAAAAGGGGACGCUUAUAAAUUAUUUUUUAGCAGUGAUAAUGAUAUUUGUUUAGUUAUCAGCUGGUCAUUGGCCAGAUUUCUCUCAUAGUACUCAUCCCAACAAACGCCACACCAAAUAGCCCUUACAUUCCUAAUUUUAGAAUGGCAUCGCUAGUCCAUAGAUGUUGUUGACAAGUAUCUCGGAGUGUUGACAACCAGUGAAGUCAAACUUGGUGGUGGUUACACCAUCUUGUGCCGCACAUCUUCCUCAAGAAUAGUGGGUGCCGGAAAGUGCACUCACUCCUUGCAUUCCCGUUCUUCGCAAUUCUCGUAAUCAUCAUCGGCUAUGUGUAAGUCUCGCCAAAGGCUGAAGAAAGGUUGGCCCUUCUAGUAACAGAGAUGAGGAUUGAGAGAUUGUUGACUCAGGUCGGUUUUCUGGAGGGACAGGCACCAUUCAGUUCCGCCACCAUCGUAAUCAAGUGCAUUUCAGAGUGCUGGAUAAUGAAAGGGCGCGGCUGGCUGUGCAUUUCAGAGUGCUGGAUAAUGAAAGGGCACGGCUGGCGGCUCCUAUUGCACGUUGGAGGCAAUGUAGGAUGGUUUUCAAAAGAGGCUUUUCUGCCAUGGUGAAGACUGAAAGCUGUGUGCUUCACAGUUUCUUUAUGGAAAUGCAGAUGCUGCAACCCGGGGAAGAAAAGGUACGCUAGGCAUAUGGGAACUUAAUAAUGUACAAGCUAGCUAGCUGCUACGUUGUAC
This 782-nucleotide long non-coding RNA is filed under the name Setaria italica (foxtail millet). RNAcentral's name for it is "long non-coding RNA (SITA_LNC006552)". The record is from RNAcentral. Lineage: Eukaryota; Viridiplantae; Streptophyta; Magnoliopsida; Poales; Poaceae.